RNAcentral lists this ribosomal RNA (256 nucleotides) under uncultured bacterium. RNAcentral describes it as "partial 16S ribosomal RNA". It matches the Rfam family "Bacterial small subunit ribosomal RNA", at positions 524 to 776 of the family's 1533-position model. The record is from RNAcentral.
UACGGGGGGGGGCAAGCGUUGUCCGGACUACUGGGCGUAAAGGGUGCGUAGGCGGUCUUGUGCGUCGGUGCUGAAAGCGCCCGGCUUAACCGGGCGAGGCGUGCCGAUACGAUAAGACUGGAGGGGCAGCGAGGGUGGCGGAACGUCCUGGUGUAGUGGUGAAAUGCGUAGAGAUCAGGAAGAACACCCGUGGCGCAAGCAGGCCACCCUGGCUGCCAACUGACGCUGAGGCACGAGAGCGUGGGGAGCGAACCGG